Molecule: ribosomal RNA, 455 nt
Filed under: uncultured Streptococcus sp.
Lineage: Bacteria; Bacillati; Bacillota; Bacilli; Lactobacillales; Streptococcaceae
Description: bacterial SSU rRNA
Rfam family: Bacterial small subunit ribosomal RNA
Source: RNAcentral
ACGGUGGAGCAUGUGGUUUAAUUACGAAGCAACGCGAAGAACCUUACCAGGUCUUGACAUCCCGAUGCUAUUUCUAGAGAUAGAAAGUUACUUCGGUACAUCGGUGACAGGUGGUGCAUGGUUGUCGUCAGCUCGUGUCGUGAGAUGUUGGGUUAAGUCCCGCAACGAGCGCAACCCCUAUUGUUAGUUGCCAUCAUUCAGUUGGGCACUCUAGCGAGACUGCCGGUAAUAAACCGGAGGAAGGUGGGGAUGACGUCAAAUCAUCAUGCCCCUUAUGACCUGGGCUACACACGUGCUACAAUGGUUGGUACAACGAGUUGCGAGUCGGUGACGGCGAGCUAAUCUCUUAAAGCCAAUCUCAGUUCGGAUUGUAGGCUGCAACUCGCCUACAUGAAGUCGGAAUCGCUAGUAAUCGCGGAUCAGCACGCCCGCGGUCGAAUACGUUCCCGGGCCUU